AAGCAGUUUAAAUACCCUGAGCCCAGGUGGCUCCAAUCACUAAUGACCCUCCUCUGCCUGCAGGAGGAACCGCCCCUGCACUGCAGAGGAGGGGCCGUGACAGUAAGUUAAUGGAGUUAGGUUAGGUUGCUACAUGAACGAGAACAAUUUUAUUUUCAAUGAACAAAGGCUCAUUUUACUUUAGAUGUAUGGUGACUCCAUGUUUGAAUGAACGGACCAACGGGACUGCCAUGGGCAAGUCCCUUGACGGGUACCAGGAAUGGUGGAAGGACAAUCUGAAGGUCACUAAUACUCCACCUGAUGUGGUGGAAGUUGUCGAACCAGAUCAGAACGCCUUCGAAGAUCACCUUCAGGCACGGACUGAGAAGGAUGUGGAGGUUUUUGACCAGGUGAGACUGAACAUGGACAGGGCGCAUGAGAAGGAGAGCCACCUGCUUCGCCAUCUGGGUGAAUGACUUGGCUUGGAAGAAGGAUUAAAGGAAGGCGAGACCGGGGAAAGCUUGGUGCUCUUUUGCUCCUAGCUGGGGUCAACAUCUGUUAAGGGACCAUCCUUUACCAACCCCACUGAUGUAAAAAAUUAGACAGGACCUAGGGGUUCUGCCUAACACCCAGACAUGGAUCCAUCUGAUGUCCUCCAUUACCAACCACCCUCCAACUUUUCAUUACAUCAGCUACUGUUAUUGUCAUGUUGUCAUUCUCUGCUAAGAAAGAGCAAGAAAACUAUCAUACUGGGAACAUAAUGUGAGCUGCACAGAUUAGCUAAAAAUUAUCACUGCAAAUACUCAGAACAAAGAGGGGAGCAGUUCCUGGACUUUGCAGUUUCCCUCUUCGAGUCCACUACCUGUUGAAAAACAAGUGACAGGCAGAACCUCCCAUCCACACAAUACCCACCUCCUCUCUAUUCCACACACCAGAAUUCUGUAUUUUAGUCUAUGAUUGCCAUGUGAGUGUACAAAGAAUCUGAAUGUAAAUUGACACACGUACCAAAAAAAUAUCAAUGGUUAUGUAUUUAAGUCUAAAAUAUUGCUAGAUUGGUUUUCACAGCUGUAAGGUGUUCGUUAUUGUAAAUUCUAACGUAUCCCUUGAUGGUAUUUGUUAAUUCAACAUUAUUAAUUGUAUCAUAAGACAUACAAUAGACAUAUACUCAACCAGUAAUGACCUAUGUUUUUUAAAUCAUAAUUGAGGACUAAAAUUAUUUCAGUGUAGAUAAGGGAAUGCCUGUUUAAAAUGAAAACAUGACAGCCAGACAAGCCAGUGUAUGAAUCAAAUGUAUUUGCAUAUGAAUGGAGUGGAAAUUAGCUCACUUUGUGAUCUGUAAGGUAAGUAACAUUAAUGUGUGUGUUGGGGCAUUGAAAUGAUAUUAUGUUUACACUGAUGCCUGUUUAUUCAUAAAAAGCAGAAGAUGAUAAAUAACAUUAAUCGGAAUGGUUAGCCUAUGCAAAUUAUUAGGAAUACAUUUAGCCUAAUUGGUAAUAAAUAUGACGUGGAGGCAAAUCAGGAUCCUAUUCAGGCUUUUGUUUGUCAAUUCCAGAUUAAAUAUAGGUCUUCACGUGUAUCAAAUCUGUAUGCAAUUGUGGGCUAAAUCAAUGACAAACAGCUUAUAUAUUCAUCAUGAUCUGUGAUCAAAACAGGCUGGGGUGUUUUCGGUUCCGUUUAGUGUAAGAAUAUGAGUAAGAACGCAACUGCACUGAAAUGAAUAGCCUGAUUCAAUGGAAUCUCCUGAAUAAUACAUGUUUUAAUUUGUUAAACUGUUUGGUCGAUGCAUAGACCCACACCAAUUCUAACUUUUUGGUAUUUUGCAUUAGGCAUAGCUCUACAUUGCAAAGCAUUUAAUAAACCAACCACAUUUUCCUGUGAUGUUUAGGCUGCGCAAGAACUUUGAUAGGCUAGUAGACUAUGCUGAAAUAAUUGUGGAGUUAAUCAUUGUUAUAGCCUUGUUCGCUUUAUAUAAUCUGGACUGUUGUUUUUCAUAAAGCUAAGCAAACAAGUGGUAGCAUAUGCUUUUUGCACAUAUCUAUAACAAGGCCUAUAUCCUCACAUACCCCCUCAAUUUGAACCCUGCUUUAAACCAUAAAACAUCUCCACAGAAAUGUAUAGAUGAAGGGUUGCAUGGUUGUGUCUGUUAAUCCGGUAAACUGGGAAGUGGGGGGGAAACGAGGUCAAAUCAUGACAUCAUUGAUUUUCAGGUCAGAGAUUCCGAGUUGGACGACUGUUCAAAACAAAACAAAAAUCCCAGUCUGACCUCGUUUUUUUCAGAGUUCCGGGUUGUCUUGAACGCACUGAAGUCAGAAGUCAGAGAUUUCUGACUUCUGAGUUAUUUUGAAUUCACCACUAGAGACCUAGGCUACCUCAACAAUUGAAAUGUGUCUCCCGCAUUUAACCCAACCCCUCUGAAUCAGAGCAUUGCGUGAGGCUGCCUUAAUCAAAAUACACGUAUUCAGUCGCCCAGAGAACCAGCGUUGGGAUUUGAUUUAGCAACCUUUCAGUUACUUGCCCAAUGCUCUAACCACUAGGCUACCAAGAAGCCCUUGAUUUUCUGCUGAUGGAAGAAAUAGGCAUAUCUACACAGUAAUGGUGCCUGCGAUAUCAACUAGCCUAAUAAUUUUUGUAUUGAGGAGAUAGGCCUAUUUUAGCUAAAUCAACAAAUGAAAUUGAUGAACUAAACAGACACUUAAACUAACACGUAACGCGUAACACAUGUAGGCAUUUUUAAGGAUUUCAUGGUAAGAUCAUUCAUAAUAUACUUAAAUACAAACUGACACGUGACGUGUCAGUGGCAUGUUACGUGACGUGAACACCACGUGAACACUACGUCUACAUGAUGUGUACAUGUCACAUGACGUGAACGCGUCGGCAGCUUGAUGCCUUAGAAACAAACUUGUCUCCAUUGACAGUCCAUGUUAAUUCAUGCCGUUAUUUUAUGACGCUAGGAAGACGUUAGGUGACUUGGUGAGAGGUAUCAGUAGCUUCACAAGGCUUAAUUCUGGCAUGAAUCACCCCCCAUAAGGAACCACUGUAGUCUGGGCUGGCAGCCUUGCAAGGGUUAACACGUUUAAAUGUCUUACUCACGUCAGCCCGAGAAGGGGGGCACAGUCCUUGGUGGCGGGCCGCGUUGGUGGCACUGUAUUAUCCUCAAAGCAGGCAAAGAACGUGUUUAGUUUGUCUGGAAGCAAGACGUUGGUGUUCGUGACGUGGUUGGUUUUCUUUUUGUAGUCCGUGAUUUCCUGUAGUCCCUGCCACAUCGGUCUUGUGUCUGAGCCGUUGAAUUGUCCCUAUACUGAAGUUUCACUUGUUUGAUUGCCUUGCGGGGGGAAUAACUACACUGUUUGUAUUCGGCCAUAUUCCCAGUCAUCUUUCCAUGCAUCUGAAACUUUACACAAUGCUGCACAGGGUGGGAGUUACCAUUUUUCUCACUCUAUACAGCAGAAAAAUCUAAAUGUGACAACAAACUGACAAUAUCACCCUGCAAAAAUAAUUCUCUGCUGUACUACUACUGUAAGAGACAUUGCCAAACAAACUGAGGAUACGAUUCCAUGUUUGCCGAUUCUGUCCUGGGCUGCCAAUCAUGAAUAACAAAGGGUUGAAACUAGAGACAGGAGUAGCAGUGGUCAUGUCAGUCUGUUGAUAUUAAAUAAAGCAUUACAGGUCAUGUCAAGAGCAUUGUGAUGAAGGAUUGCCAUAGGCUGAAUUGAGAGACUGGGCUAAAAAGUUUAGUCCCAAUGUAGAAGAUUUAUUUUCUUAAAAAUUCUAACUUAACAAAAAAUACUUGAGUCCUUUUAGCUCUUUGUAGAGCAAAGGCACAAAAAUAACAAAAGCAAUAUUUUCUCAAUCCUGACAAACAAUAUAGUACUGCUGACUAACAAAUGCAAUAUGUUCUCCAUCCUGACAAACAGUAUACUACUGCUGACUAACAAAAGCAAUAUGUUCUCCAUCCUGACAAACAGUAUACUACUGCUGACUAACAAAAGCAAUAUGUUCUCAAACCUGACAAUGUACUAAUGCUGACUAAAAAAAACACAAACACAUGUAGCUUACUGGGUUUAAACCAGUGAAGCAUGUUGAAAGAAUAACAAUUUUAACUUUACCUUUCCGUUUGACUUCAAAAUCAUCAUCAAAUCAAAGUUUAUUGGUCACGUACACAGAUUUGCAGGUGUUAUGGCAGGUGCAUGUAAAAUAUUGUGUUACUAGCUCCAACAGUGCAGUAGAAUGUCUCGCAAAUACAAUUCAAAUACACAAUCAUGAAAACAAUCCAAACAACAAAUCAAGAAAUAGCCAUCCUAGUAGAUCAUCAUCAUUCUAGUAGUAAGUUUAUUAGAACAGGGGAGUGUGGUAGUAAGUUUAUUAGAACAGGGGGUGUGGUAGUAAGUUUAUUAGAACAGGGGGUGUGGUAGUAAGUUUAUUAGAACAGGGGAGUGUGGUAGUAAGUUUAUUAAAACAGGGGGUUGUGGUAGUAAGUUUAUUAGAACAGGGGGUGUGGUAGUAAGUUUAUUAGAACAGGGGGAGUGGUAGUAAGUUUAUUAGAACAGGGGGAGUGGUAGUAAGUUUAUUAGAACAGGGGGUGUGGUAGUAAGUUUAUUAGAACAUGGGGAGUGUGGUAGUAAGUUUAUUAGAACAGGGGGAGUGGUAGUAAGUUUAUUAGAACAGGGGAGUGUGGUAGUAAGUUUAUUAGAACAGGGGGUGUGGUAGUAAGUUUAUUAGAACAGGGGGUGUGGUAGUAAGUUUAUUAGAACAGGGGGUGUGGUAGUAAGUUUAUUAGAACAGGGGGUGUGGUAGUAAGUUUAUUAGAACAGGGGGAGUGGUAGUAAGUUUAUUAGAACAGGGGAGUGUGGUAGUAAGUUUAUUAGAACAGGGGGUGUGGUAGUAAGUUUAUUAGAACAGGGGGGUGUGGUAGUAAGUGUAUCAGUAGAGGGGGGUGGGGUAGUAAGUUUAGCAGAACAGGGGGUGUAGUAGUAAGUUAAUCAGAACAAGGGGUGUGGUAGUAAGUUUAGCAGAACAGGGGGUGUGGUAGUAAGUUUAUCAGUAGAGGGGGGUGGGGUAGUAAGUUUAGCAGAACAGGGGGGUGUGGAAGUAAGUUUAUCAGUAGAGGGGGGUGGGGUAGUAAGUUUAGCAGAACAGGGGGGUGUGGUAGUAAGUUUAUCAGUAGAGGGGGGUGGGGUAGUAAGGCCAAUAGCAGUCCACCAUGUCUUUAGCCUCCUCGUAUGUGGUGAACUCACAGUCGGGGGAAAAUUGUGGCGUUCCUGGCUCACAGAAUCUCAGAUGGUGUCUCAAAUUGUACCUAUCGAAGGUCAACAUCUGAGAGGAACAGAAUUUUUCAUCAUCUUAAGUGAUAGCUAGACUUUUGAUUGCUGAUUGUAAAGUCUUGCUGCUUUGGCAACAUUGUUGUACCUUUAAAAGUUAUACCCACAAAGCAGUUGUCUUAAAAACCUGUCCUGGAGAGAUACAGGGUGUGCAGGGUUUUGUUCCAGGCACCAGUUACACACAGAUUACACUAAUAAAGGUCUUGAUAAUUAGUUGAUUAAUUGAAUCAGACGUGUUAGAGUUGGGCUAAAACUAAAUCCUUUACACCCUGUUAUUUUCCAGUACAAACAUUGUUGAUCCAAUCAAUAAAGUUGAUGUGAAAUCUGACCUGUGAACCGUCCAUGUGGAACGCUACAGCAAUGUUGUCCCAAACGUAGAACUGGUGUUUCUGUGGAUCAGGGAUCAGGUGGGCUACAUCCUGGUUCUGGUAGGGCUUUGGCACCAAUUUCAAGCUGUGGAAAGGAAGUAAAAGUCUGAGUCAAUUGUAAUUAAUGCAUCCCAUGCUAUAAUUGAGUGAUUUUUUUAUCUAUUAUUGCUAUAUUACAUC
RNAcentral lists this long non-coding RNA (5845 nucleotides) under Salmo salar (Atlantic salmon). Its description in RNAcentral is "lncRNA (ENSSSAG00000093566.1)". The record is from RNAcentral. Lineage: Eukaryota; Metazoa; Chordata; Actinopteri; Salmoniformes; Salmonidae.